AUAAAGGCAAUGCGAAAGAGGAGUAUCCGGUAUGCCGGUUUGCAGAGAGGAAGCGGAGGGUGCGAGCUUCCAGCCGGGAUCGGAGAAGGUGGCUUUCGGGCCCUGACCCUGAAUGGCAGUAGGGGGCGGCGGGACUUCCCGUUACAGAAGACAGAAGUGCCCCUUCGGGGGAAUUCAGGUGGUACCGCGGAGAUUAUUCGCCCUGAGU
RNAcentral lists this non-coding RNA (208 nucleotides) under Bacillota bacterium. RNAcentral describes it as "Firmicutes bacterium T-box sequence". It matches the Rfam family "T-box leader". Rfam says of the family: Uncharged tRNA acts as the effector for transcription antitermination of genes in the T-box leader family. T-boxes are found upstream of many aminoacyl-tRNA synthetase genes and some amino acid biosynthetic genes usually in Gram-positive bacteria. The record is from RNAcentral. Lineage: Bacteria; Bacillati; Bacillota.